Siniperca chuatsi (mandarin fish) is the source of this 4771-nucleotide long non-coding RNA. RefSeq lists it as uncharacterized. NCBI's taxonomy places the organism in Eukaryota, Metazoa, Chordata, Actinopteri, Centrarchiformes, Sinipercidae. The record is from RefSeq and is a predicted model, not a curated record. The transcript is spliced from 4 exons.
GAGACGUGUCAAAAGAACUGCAUAUCCAAAACACUAUGCAAAUUCGAAAAACACAUUAACGGAAAACGGAAAAUCACAACACGACCAUUAUUGCCUACAUAUGUGGAAGGGGAAACUUCUUGCCUGUUUGAGAAGAUAUUUGUUGUGAUGAAUCUAAGACGUCCUGUUCUUCCAGAGGAGGAGACAAAUACAACAUGGCUGAGAGGGAGGUGUUCAAGGACACUGGCACAGCUUUGUAUUGCAAACAGCCCGCCUCACCAUUCCUGCUCCAGCUGCCUGGAAAACAUGACGGCAUCUCCAGAGCCUCUCCAGGACCAGGGGCUCCCCUCCUGCUGUGUGGCCCACUAACGCUGCCUCUCGCUGGACUCCGCCAGCUCAAGAUGUCCCUGUCCUGAUUGAGGCAGAGUUUCUCCAGAUGAAGCUGCUGUGGAGACGAGGACAGAGCUUCCUCUCAGGAAAAGGAGACAGACCGACUGUGGAGGUUUUGCGGAGCAACUGGAGCGAUCAGCCACACAAAUCCACACUAACACACAGACACAUACACAUGUACAGUAUAUAUGCAAUGAUGUUUUGAGUGUUUACAGAUCUUUACCUGCAUUUUAUGUCUCCACACAUCGCUGACUGAUCACCAUCAUUUUGAGUAAGCGUUGUCCUUGUGCGAUGUUGACAGCUCAUAAUGAGCAGUUAAUUAUGCAGCAGAGUCAAUUUAAGUGAGUAAAAAUAAAUAUGUUAACAGAUGGUAAAGCAAUUUGUGCUGCAAAUAUAAUUCCAUUGUCAUUCAGAUUUCUGGACUAAAAUAAACAGAUAUGAGCCCUAAGGAUCUGUUAUCAUUUACCACAUGACGGGCUCUGUCGAUACCCGCCUGUGUAUAUCUAAGGUACUCAUGCACCUGCAUCUGUACAUGUUAAUUCAUGCAUUCUUUGCAUGUCUGUGUGUCCAGAUGGAAUUUGUGAGUGCGUCCAGCUGUUGUUUGUGGUUCCAUGCUGGAGUCCAGCUGGGCUUCCUUAGCAGUUGAGUGGGCUAGACAUCGCUACGCAAGGUCAAGCACACAGCGAUUUGAUCGAUAAUUUUACACAGGUACAUGCUGAGUAAAAGUUUCAAUCUUGACUUCAAAGUUACCUUUGGCUAAAUGACAGUAAUUACAUAAAACAGAGACAAAUUCAUCUGAGGAAUGACAUAGAAACAUGACUUUCAGGUAAUAAUCCAGGACUGUCUGAUUGUCCUAACACAUUAGUGAUCCAAUGUAUAUCCAGUAAGAUGUUUUGUUUUUCUGUAUUAAACACCUGCUUGCUGGCAUAAUUAUUGGCGGCGCUGGGUGUAAAACUUUGGAAGUGAUUUCACUGUUGAGUUUAGUGGUAAAACUCUCGCUUGCCAUUUUGAAGGCCUAGCUUUGACUUUUAGCGAAUGAAACCUUUUCCAGCUCCUCUACAUUAAAGCAGGAAACAAGUCUGCAAGAUAGAUAAAUAUGGUUUGUGUCUGGGUUUCUGUCUGGGUGGUGGUGGAGACAGACAAACUGCUCUAGGACCCUUAGAUAGAUAGAUUAAUUAUGCAAGUGCACUUGGUGUCUGGUACUGUAGGUCUUUCCCAGAAAGAAGGAGAUGGACUGGUAUCGCAUGAGCGCUGAAGAAUAGAGAGGCACCUACAGAAACUUACUCGUAAAUUCAAGGGAAAAAAGUUGCAGGGCUGACAACCAAUUCUUCACUUCCCCACUGACAGCUGGCUUCCCUCAUCAUGCUUUGUUUAUUUGGAGUUAUCCUUAAUAAAUUACUUAUUAAUUUACCUCCCGCGGUAGCUACUUGACCCUCCUGUCUUUGUUAUGGCCUGAAUGAGCCGGGCAUAACAAGUAUUACUAUGCUGUAGCUAUGACCAACAAAUCGACCCCCAUCAGCAUUUUACAAGCAUCGGGAGCAUCGUGGCACUGACCAAAACACUGGCAAUCACACUAUAAACCCGUGCUGCCCUGCAGCAGAACAUCCACACCCUCUGCUGUGGUGCCAAAGCUAGCACCAAAAACACACUGGACCGAUCUACAGCUCCAGAUGUUCCCGCAGCAUUACCUCACUGUGAAACAGUAAAAGUGAAGGAGGGAAGGGGGAUUUGUGAUGAGGGAUUUAUGCCACACCACAUACACAGAACAUUAUUUGGAAAAUGAAAAAAGAAAGAAGUUGCAAGUGAAGUGUCCUUUGAAAUACUUUUAGGAUGAAUAAAUAUUGUUAACUGAAAUGUAGCAUUUUAAUUUGACUUGCCAUGAGGCCUGUUAAGUAUGCCUAUAAUCAUCUUUGGAUACUGUUUGGAGACCAACGGCAAAUAAACGAAUGCGCACAUUUGGAACAAUCUGUCAGUAAUGUCUUCUCUGAGGUGUGUUCUUUCAUUUGGUGGAGGGAUUUCGUCAUCAAAGGUCAUAUGACGUAGAUAUGUUGAGUUUUAGUGUGCUUCUUCAUGCAUCUCCCAUAGGCUUCAACAGAACUGGCACCAAAGUGUGGCACCAAGCAGAGCAUUAGAACGUUAUAAUGAUGUAAUGACCCUUCCUUCAUUUUAAGUUUCGUUGGUUUCUCUGGAUAAUUCACAGACCUUCUCCUUUUCAUAGGGACUAUUUCUUUGGUAACAAACAAAAUUUAAAAUCUAUACUAAACCCCAGUCAUCUACAUUUAAAUCAAUGCCUGUUAGUAUACUGGACUCAGGAUGGACUCAAGUAUUCUUUAACAGGUGGUUCAACUUCACCACAUUCAGACAUUUGCAGCUCAGUCAUUAGCUGUAGCUGCUAGUGAUUUCCUCUGACUUCCUCUGUGUGUUGUGGAGCUAAAAGUGAGUUAAUUUUCUACCCAGACAGAAGAGAUGACUGCAAGUAAUUACGGCACUCCACAGGGUGUACCUGGUGAUAACUGUAGCAGAUAGAUUUAACAAGCAAUGAUCCUGGCCAGACUCACACACACACACACACACACACACACACAGAGCAGGAAAGCAUUAAAAGCAUGUAAACACAGCGCAAAGCAGGCCAACGUACUCAAAUGUACACACACACGACAUGCACCAUUAAAGUUUGUUUACGAAUUGCACAGAGGUAUGUCCGACUUUGAAAAGUAAACUUGUGAUGGUUGAAAGCGCAUCUAAAAGUAGGUCAUUAUGGAGUCGGAAAGCUCGUACCAUCCUCCUCCACCAGUAUAACAGUCCUGACUCUGGUUGUUUUCUCAAGCAAGGCAAUAAUCUGACACCAGCAAAGCAAAGACACUCUAGAUGCUGAUAGUUUUCUUCUAAGAAGUUACAGUACAAAUAGUACAUUUCUCAGAGUUGUUUUCCAAGUGGGCAGCUGAUUACAGCAAAAAAAAAAAAUUGCUCUAAAAACCCAUUGCACAGCAGUUAGCAACUAGCUGGUGAACAUAGUGGAGAAUUCAGUUGCUUUCCCUGCUCGGUUGGUGGAGAUCAAAACAGAGCAAAGCGUGAACAAUAAACUUACAUUGGUCAGGUGGUUAGAAGAAUGACGAUGCAUGCUAACGUUGCUCUGAUUUAGCUGGAUGUGUAAAAUAGGCAACCCUACAGACAGGCACUGUCUUUCUGAUGAAAGCUUGCAGCCCUCAGCUACGCUCCCCCAUUAAUUGAUCACAGGGACUCAGAUGAAAACAAAAUAUCAUGUAAUUUGGUGUGAAUUUUGCCCAAUUACGCCUGCGGCGGGGAUGUGAGUAGGUGUCACUUCAUUUUCGGUCUUAGAAAAAAACUUACUCCCAAGUCACAAAAACAUCUCAUUAAAGUCUGCCAUCAGUCUCUGUUCUGCAAUUUUGAUAUUUGGAUAAAAUCCAUCACAAAAAAGCCUUAUGGUGCUGUGAACAAUGGAUUUCCCCUCUGUGCGAUGACACCAUUGCCUGGUCGGUUUCUUAUAGGCUUUACAAGCUACUUGCUAACUUCCUCCCUGCUGAUGUGGCUUCCUGGCAAUCAGCCAGACCCCUCUCUCCCCACCUCCCAUGGCCCAUAAAGCCGCUCUGCUGCCUGUCCCGUGUGAGACAGGAAGCAAAGCCCUGUGGACAGUGACCUCACUGCAGGAAGAGUAGAGGGUGUGUGUACUGUAAGUGUGUGUACAUGCGCGUGCAGAAUUGUAAUUCUCUUUUCUCUUCAGAUAGUUCACAAAGCAACGUGCUGCACCAGUCUCGGUAUAAAAAGCUUAAAGACUUGAAAUAUUUUCAGAGCAAUUUUUAAUGUGUACAUGUCCAGCAUGGCUUGUUAACACACUCAACUAGAGGUGAACACACAACAACACAAAUGUAUAAAAUCUUACAUUUUCUACAGACCCCUAACAACCAAUCAAAAAACACUAAUUGGAAUGUUAUUAACAAAAAAUGUCAUAUCAAGUUUGGAGAGAACAAAAAUGCACAAAAUAAGACAAAUUAUCAAAGACAGACAAUAACCUCAUCUGUUUUUAUUGACUGCUGCUUUCUUUUUGUAUCCCCCCCCCCAUCUCAUCCCAGUCAGGGAUUAUGGUCAAGUUUUUUCAGAAAGUCACUGAACCGUAGUAAUGAAGAGAGACGUUCAAGAGGGCCUAGUAUGAGAUGCCAAGCUCCGCUGUUGAUGGUCAGUACAGAAUUGACUGAAUAUAACAAAAUCUACUCUCUACUCUAGCGGCAGUUAGUGGAUGAACAGUUUUCUCAAGUGGGCUGCUCAACAGUUUCAAUGCCUGCGUGAAGCCCAGUGAGAGCUGAUCCGCUGCACUCAUCUGGGGCAAAGCGACGACACAGAUGCUCAAAGUCAUUUGUCAGCCAUCUUUUCUGUUUCAUCCCGC